AGUAUUUUACAUCUACAUAUAGAGUAUUGGAAAGAGAAGCAAGAAGCUCAGCAAGAGGGUUUUUUAAAAUUUGCGUAAACCUACUAUACAACCUUGGUUGGUAUUUUGGGCAUAAAUUUAUGUGGGGUGGUAUCUACAUCUUUAUAUCUUCACACCCUCUGACUAACUAACUAAUAAAUCAUAAAUGUGAAAAAAAUUCACCUUCCUUACAAUCUAGCAAACACACGACGUAAAACCUGGUGAAAGAUGUUCAUCCGGUGGUUGUACAAUCAAUAUCAACCAUUGUUGUCAUAUUAACGAUGUGUCAACUCCUCUCGAAGCCCCAUUUUUAGUUUUUUCUCACAUAAUUUUAAAAGGGUCAAUUACAUAUAAGUCUAUUUAGAGACAUUUUCUCCCAUAUAAGUUCACCUAAACAUUUUUACCUAUAGAAGUCCACCCAAUCAUAAAUAGAGUCUUAUAUUAGGUAUUAAAGUUCAACAAAAUUACAGACUGCCAUCCAACCAAAAAAAUUAGAUUUUCUCUCUUAUAUUUACAAAAAUACCACUAAUGUAAAAAGUCAACAAUCACAAAUGGUCUCCGGUUGACCUCCGGGGAGGUCUCCGGCCGACCUCCGGCGAACUUUCCAGCCGACCAUCUGUGAGGAUUCUAGCGACCACAAAAGUUACUACCACUGACAAAAAAAACUACUACCACUGACAACAAAAGAUACUACCGAUAGAAAAAAAAAUUACUGCCACCAGCAAAGAAAGCUACUACCGAUAGCAACAAAAACUACUACCACUAACAACAAAAUAUACUACCGAUAGCAAAAGAGGCUACUGCCACCAACAAAGAAAACUACUACCGAUAGCAACAAAAGCUACUACCGCCAGCAAAAAAAGCUACUACCACUGACAACAAAAAAUACUGUCACCAUCAACAAAAACUACUAUCACAGGCUAUAAAAGCUACUACCAUCGGCUAUAAAAGCUACUAUGGUGAGAUUUCUGACAACCUCCGGUAAGGUCACAAAAGAUAUUAUCACUGGUAACAAAAAAUACUACCGAACAUAACAAAAACUACUACCACCAGCUACAAAAGCUACUAUGCUGAGAUUCCAAUGACCUUCGGCAAGGUCACAAAAGAUAUUGUCACCAGCUAUAAAAGAUACUACCGAGUAUAUGAAAAGUUACUGUCACCAACAAAAAAAGCUACUAUUUCAAGCUAUAAAAGAUACUACCAAGCAAAUGAAAAACUACUACAAGGUAGAACAAAAGCUACUGCCACCACCUAUAAAAGAUACUACCGAACAUAUGAAAAACUACUACCAAGCAGAACAAAAGCUACUGUCACCAACAAAAAAAUCUACUAUCACCAACAAAAAAAUCUACUAUCUACUAUCACCAACUAUAAAAGCUACUACCCCUAGUUACAAAAGUUACUACAAAGAGAUUUCCAAUAACCUCUGACGAAGUCAUAAAAGAUACUGUCGUCAGCAACAAAAACUAUUACCGCAAGUAACAAAAGCUACUACCACCAUCAACAAAAACUACUACCACAAUCAACAAAUUAAAACUAUUACCUCCAAACAAAACCAAUAGCUAAUGUUUUCGGCAACAAAAUCUACUACCAAGCAUAAUGAAAGCUAUUACCAAUGUGUCAAAAAUAGACAAUCACAGUGGGGAAAAUAUACUAUCACAAUGAUGAAAAUGUACUAUCGCAUUGUUCAAAAUAUACUAUCAUACAAUGAGGCCGAAACAUACUUAUGAAUCUCAUUUCAUUCAUCUCCCACAUUAUCAGAACAUGAUUCUGUGCAUGAUUUCUCACACUCACUAUCAAAUUAACAGAAAACAUCAUCCUAAUCUUUGUUUACAUUUUCUAAAAACCAAAGAAACGAAUUGUAGCAAAUUUACACUCAGAAUUUUACCAGAACAGUCACCUCCAGGCGAUAUCUUUGAAGCGGCGUCGUCCAGGACUUGUCAUCGAGUCAGCAGCGGAGUCCAAGCUGUACGGAUCUCGAAUCGCCAGCAGAAGGCGAUCAUAGCCGUCAAGGACCAGACGAGCCACGGGAUGAGCCGGCGAGCCAUCUGGUUUCAGAGAUCCCGUCGAGGUCAAAUCAGAAGUUGUCAUCGAUGGAAUUGGACGUAAUAGACGUCGAGGUCAGGAGCGACGUCGAGGUCGAGGCGUCGUCGUCGAGCCGGCAGCGUCGAGGUCGAGGUCGAGGUCGAGGUCGAGGUCAAGGCGUCGUCGUCGAUCUCGCGACAUCGAGGUCGAGGCGUUGUCGAUCUGGCAACAUUGAGGUCGAGGCGUCGUCGUUGAGCCGGCGGCAUCGAGGUCGAGGUCAAGGCUUUGUCGUCGAUCUGGCGACGUCGAGGUUGAGCCUGCUUCCUCGUCAUCUAUCAAGCGGUGCCAAGCCAUCGUCGUCGAGCUGGUGUUGGCCUGAGACGCCGCCAUGGCCGGAUAUUCGAGACCGGAGAAGAGAGGGUGGAGGAACACGAAGAGAGAGAGAGAGAGAGAGAGAGAGAGAGAGAGAGAGAGAGAGAGAGAGAGAGAGAGAGAGAGAGAGAGAGAGAGAGAGAGAGAGAGAGAGAGAGAUGGAGAGAAGUGAAAAGGACGUGAGAAGAAGAGAGAAAAAUUUAUUUGCAGGGAAAUAGGGUAUUUUAGGAACAUCGUAAAUAUAAAAUGACAGGUUUAGGUUUAAAAGUGGACUUAUAUGGGUAAAAAUAAUAAGGUGGACUUGUGUUACAAAAAAUGUUACGAAAGUGACUUUAGUGAAAUUUUCUAAUUUUAAAACUAAAAAAUGGUCAUUAAACAAAUAUCUUUCUAAUAUUUAAUUGUUUCAUUUCAAGUUAUUGUUACCGAUCAACUUGAUUGUCUGUAAAGAUGUACCAGACAGACAGUGUCUUCUGUUCCAAAGUUCACCCUGCCUCUAAUGCUCAUAAAAUAUUUGAAUUGCUUGCGUACCUAAUGCUAUGGAAACAAUAUCUAGUUUUGACGUUUUGGAUCUGUUAUAGGAGGAGAGCAACCUUGUCAAAAAAGUCAUUAAACAAAUAUCUUUUCAUUGUUUAACUGCUUCCAAUAUCUCACUUGCUUAUGUGCUACCUAAUGCCAUGUAAUGAAAUAGGUAGCUUUGAUGUUUUGGAUAUGUUAUAGGAAGGGAACAGCUAUAUAUGCAGAGUCCUUUCAUGCAAUAUCCAAGAGCCUUCAUGUUGAUUUACUAUUUGCUGAUUGGUCAAUAUCACGUUAAUCAUAUUACUCUUAUCCUAUCACAAUUUCAAUAUACAUGAGAAAAAGCUAAGUAACAUUUGGUCUAGCGGCAUAGUCUUCUUUUAGUAAGCAGGAGGUUGUAAGUUUGACUCACGAAAUACUAAUUGUAGUAUUUAAGUUGUUUACCAGAUCAAAAAUAAAACAUACAUGAGAAAAAAGAAUUGAAAGAAAGCCCCAUGAAAAAUAUGAAAAUUUUUGUUACCUCAUAGCUAGCUAUCAAUUGAUUGGUAUUGUAAGUAAUUCUAUCAACAGAAGUAGAGCAAAAAACGACUCCACGUCGAUGGGGUAUCGCCAUGGAAGCUUCGAAGAAAUGAACAUCCCCGUAUUGUAAGUAGGGUUUGUCUAGUAUCACCUUCAGAAUCCACAUCCACACGCAGCCUCAGAUAAGAGCUUCUUCCGUAAACGUUAAUUAACGCGUUGAUUUUUGUUUACCCACCCAACGCGUUCUCGCCAUAUCUCCUUCCUUAUUAUACACAAUCCCUCUCAGCACACCAUUUCCUUGAUCAUUUCCCACUUUCCCUCUUCCCCUUAUAUAAACCUCUCACUUCUCCUCACCUUUCUCACAUUCCACUCUUCUUUUACCUCUUUCGUUUCAUUCACUAGUUUUCCACAAAGUCUUCUCUCUUAUCUUAGCUUCAGCUUCCAUGUCGGAGAAACAAGCAGGCUUGAAUGGCUCCUACUACGGCCCAUCCAUCCCGCCCAAGAGGGACUCCUACCAAAGCGUCGGCCGCGGCGGAGGUCCCCUCGGCUGCUGCUGCAGCUGCAUCUUCGGCCUCGUCUUCAAGCUCAUCUUCACCGCCAUCGUCUUCAUGGGACUCGCCUUCUUCGUCUUCUGGCUCAUAGUUAAACCUAACCGCGUCAAGUUUCACGUCACCGACGCCACUCUCACCCAAUUCAACUUCUCCUCUGACAGCAACCUCCACUACAACCUCGCCCUCAACCUCACCAUCCGAAACCCUAACAAGAAGCUCGGCAUCUACUACGAUCGCAUCGAGGCCAGAGCCAACUACGAGGGCCAGAGGUUCAGCACGAUCACUCUCACCCCGUUUUACCAAGGACACAAAACCACCAACGUUUUGAACCCUCUGUUUACUGGACAGCAGUUGCUUGUUGGGUCCAAUUUGCAGUCGGAGUAUCAGAAGCAGACCAGUGCUGGGGUAUACGAGAUUGAGAUGAAGCUUUAUCUGAGGAUUAGGUUCAAGUUCGGUCGGAUCAAGACCGGAAAGUUCAAACCCAGAGUUGAAUGUGACUUGAAGGUUCCUUUGAGUACGAAUGGCAAUUCCGCAACUACCUUCGAGACCAAGCGGUGCAAGAUUGAUUACUUUAAAGCCAUCUAGCUGGUCAUCCAUGGCGGCCGAGGAGGAGAUCCUUUCUUGUUGAUACAGUCUUCUUCUUAUCUUUUCGCUUCUGCUUUGUGAUUUUUCAUACCAGACACUAUUCUUUUGUUUCUUUUUUUGGCGUUACGAUUACUGUUACAUAUCAUAUGUACACUGAUUAUGAGUAUAUGAUGAUGACGAUUUAGUGAUCAGAUCUUUGGAUUAUAAAUAAAUGACGAUUUUAGUGGUUAGUGCUUUGCUAUCUCAUGACGCUUGUGAUGUCUGGUUUAUACACCUUUUCAACGUCUCCAUGCUUUUUCUAUGCUUUCAAAGCUAUAAACGUUAAAAGUCUUCGGUAAUUUACAAUUAUUUUUAAAGUCAUUGUCUAUGAGUCAAUGACUACGCGGAGAUUGGGACCAAACUUAAAAUAAAAUAAAAUGACCAAUUCAAUUGAAAGCCGCUACCUAUGCCAAUUACAUAAAAAUCUAUUUGAAGACAUUUUCUCCCAUAUAGGUCCACCUAAAUAUUUUUACCCACAUAAGUCCACCCAAAUCUAAAUACAGUCUUAUAUUAGGUAUUAAAGUUCAACAAAAUUACAAACUGCCAUCCAACCAAAAAAUUAGAAUUUCUCUCUUAUAUUUACAAAAAUGCCAUUAAUGUAAAAAGUCAACAACCACAAAUAGUCUCCGAUUGACCUCCGGCGAGGUCUCCGGCCGACCUCCGACGAACUUUCCGGCCAACCUUCGGUAAACUUUCCGGCCGACCAUCUGUGAGGAUUCUAGCGACCACAAAACCUACUACCACUGACAACAAAAGAUACUACUACCGACAAAGAAAGUUACUACCACUGAUAACAAAAGAUACUACCAAUAGCAAAAAGAACUACUGCCACCAGCAAAAAAAGCUAUUACCGAUAGCAACGAAAGCUACUACCACUAAUAAAGAAAGCUACUACCACUGACAACAAAAUAUACUACCAAUAGCAAAAAAACUACUGCCAUCAGCAAAGAAAGCUACUACCGAUAGCUAAAAAAGCUACUGCCACCAGCAACAAAAGCUACUACCGAUAGCAACAAAAGCUACUACCGCCACCAACAAAAGCUACUACCGCCACCAACAAAAGCUACUACCGCCACCAACAAAAAAACUAUUGUCAGCAACAACAAAAAUACCACCGCCAGCAGCCAGAGGUACUACUGCCACCAACAAAAGAUACUACCACAACCAAUAAAAAAUACUAUCGCCACCAACAAAAACUACUACCACCAGCAACAAAAUCUACUCAUAAGAGAUUGAGAAAAAUACUAGCAUAGAAGUUGAAAACGCUUUGAUUGUAUAUACAAAAUAUUAUUAUCGUGUUGAAAAGAUACUAGUACAGAUAUUAAAAAAAUACUAAAAUUAUGUAACUUUUUACAAUGAUAUAAUUAUGUAUAAAGCUACUUCUGUACUUUAAAAAAGCUACUGUUAUAGUUUAGAAAGUUUACUACAAUAGUUU
Molecule: long non-coding RNA, 6057 nt
Filed under: Fragaria vesca (wild strawberry)
Lineage: Eukaryota; Viridiplantae; Streptophyta; Magnoliopsida; Rosales; Rosaceae
Description: long non-coding RNA (FVES_LNC003098)
Source: RNAcentral